RNAcentral lists this ribosomal RNA (524 nucleotides) under uncultured bacterium. Its description in RNAcentral is "partial 16S ribosomal RNA". It matches the Rfam family "Bacterial small subunit ribosomal RNA", at positions 28 to 523 of the family's 1533-position model. The record is from RNAcentral.
GACGAACGCUGGCGGCGUGCCUAAUACAUGCAAGUCGAGCGCAGGAAGCCGUCUGAACCCUUCGGGGGGACGACGAUGGAAUGAGCGGCGGACGGGUGAGUAACACGUAAAGAACCUGCCCAUAGGUCUGGGAUAACCACGAGAAAUCGGGGCGAAUACCGGAUGUGUCAUCGGACCGCAUGGUCCGCUGAGGAAAGGCGCUCCGGCGUCGCCCAUGGAUGGCUUUGCGGUGCAUUAGCUAGUUGGUGGGGUAACGGCCCACCAAGGCGACGAUGCAUAGCCGACCUGAGAGGGUGAUCGGCCACACCGGGACUGAGACACGGCCCAGACUCCUACGGGAGGCAGCAGUAGGGAAUCUUCCACAAUGGACGAAAGUCUGAUGGAGCAACGCCGCGUGAACGAUGAAGGCUUUCGGGUCGUAAAGUUCUGUUGUAAGGGAAGAACAAGUGCCGCAGGCAAUGGCGGCACCUUGACGGUACCUUGCGAGAAAGCCACGGCUAACUACGUGCCAGCCGCCGCGGUAA